AUUGAACGCUGGCGGCAUGCCUUACACAUGCAAGUCGAACGGUAACAGGUCUUCGGAUGCUGACGAGUGGCGAACGGGUGAGUAAUACAUCGGAACGUGCCCGAUCGUGGGGGAUAACGGAGCGAAAACUUUGCUAAUACCGCAUACGAUCUACGGAUGAAAGCAGGGGACCGCAAGGCCUUGCGCGGACGGAGCGGCCGAUGGCAGAUUAGGUAGUUGGUGGGAUAAAAGCUUACCAAGCCGACGAUCUGUAGCUGGUCUGAGAGGACGACCAGCCACACUGGGACUGAGACACGGCCCAGACUCCUACGGGAGGCAGCAGUGGGGAAUUUUGGACAAUGGGCGAAAGCCUGAUCCAGCCAUGCCGCGUGCAGGAUGAAGGCCUUCGGGUUGUAAACUGCUUUUGUACGGAACGAAAAGACUCUUUCUAAUAAAGAGGGUCCAUGACGGUACCGUAAGAAUAAGCACCGGCUAACUACGUG
RNAcentral lists this ribosomal RNA (482 nucleotides) under uncultured bacterium. RNAcentral describes it as "partial 16S ribosomal RNA". It matches the Rfam family "Bacterial small subunit ribosomal RNA", at positions 30 to 507 of the family's 1533-position model. The record is from RNAcentral.